This 478-nucleotide ribosomal RNA is filed under the name uncultured bacterium. RNAcentral's name for it is "partial 16S ribosomal RNA". It matches the Rfam family "Bacterial small subunit ribosomal RNA", at positions 28 to 523 of the family's 1533-position model. The record is from RNAcentral.
GACGAACGCUGGCGGCGUGCUUAACACAUGCAAGUCGAACGGUAAGGCCCUUCGGGGUACACGAGUGGCGAACGGGUGAGUAACACGUGGGUGAUUUGCCCUGCACUUUGGGAUAAGCCUGGGAAACUGGGGCUAAUACCGGGUAGGUCCAUGCGCUUCACGGUGUGUGGUGGAAAGAUUUUGCGGUGUGGGAUGGGCCCGCGGCCUAUCAGCUUGUUGGUGGGGUAAUGGCCUACCAAGGCGACGACGGGUGGCCGGCCUGAGAGGGUGACCGGCCACACUGGGACUGAGAUACGGCCCAGACUCCUACGGGAGGCAGCAGUGGGGAAUAUUGCACAAUGGGCGCAAGCCUGAUGCAGCGACGCCGCGUGAGGGAUGACGGCCUUCGGGUUGUAAACCUCUUUCAGUAGGGACGAAGCGCAAGUGACGGUACCUACAGAAGAAGGACCGGCCAACUACGUGCCAGCAGCCGCAGUAA